RNAcentral lists this long non-coding RNA (929 nucleotides) under Aotus nancymaae (Ma's night monkey). RNAcentral's name for it is "lncRNA (ENSANAG00000039472.1)". Lineage: Eukaryota; Metazoa; Chordata; Mammalia; Primates; Aotidae. The record is from RNAcentral.
AGCAGUGUUUCAGGUUGAAUAGUAUUAAAGACUUCACAUGUGAUUAAAACAGGGAAGAAAUGUUACUAGGUUAGUAUAACAAUAGACUAUUACAUUCUUUUUCAUACUUGCAGAAUUGGAGCAUUAAGAAUAAACCUUCACCUGUAAUUUUCUUUCUUGAUUUCUAUUAUUAAAUGUGUAUUCAAAAAUUUUUGUUUUGUCGGAGUGAACUGCUUUCUUUUAUCAAAAAAUUACGAGAACCACUGGUUUUGACUAUUAUUUUAUCACUCUUUGUGAAACUUCACAAUGUUCGAGAGGACAUUGUGAAUGACAUUACAGCUGAACACAUUUCUAUUUGGCCAUCUUCCAUUCCCAACCUCCAGUCUGUGGACUUUGAAGCUGUGGCAAUCACAGUGAAAGAACUAGUUCGAUAUACACUCAGUAUAAAUCCAAAUAACCAUUCCUGGUUAAUUAUCCAGGCAGAUAUUUAUUUUGCAACAAAUCAGUAUUCAGCAGCUCUUCACUAUUACCUCCAGGCAGGAGCUGUGUGUUCUGACUUCUUUAAUAAGGCUGUGCCCCCUGAUGUUUAUACAGACCAGGUGAUAAAACGAAUGAUAAAAUGUUGUUCUUUGCUGAACUGCCACACACAGGUGGCCAUUUUAUGUCAGUUCCUCAGAGAAAUUGACUACAAAACAGCGUUUAAAUCUCUGCAAGAACAAAACAGUCAUGAUGCUAUGGAUUCCUACUAUGACUACAUAUGGGAUGUUACCAUUUUGGAAUACUUGACUUAUCUUCAUCAUAAAAGAGGAGAAACAGAUAAAAGACAAAUUGCAAUAAAAGCUAUCGGCCAGACAGAGUUGAAUGCAAGCAAUCCAGAAGAAGUGUUACAGCUGGCAGCGCAGAGAAGGAAAAAAAAGUUUCUCCAAGCAAUGGCAAAACUUUACUUUUAA